UACACACCGCCCGUCACACCAUGGAAGUUUACUGCACCAGAAGCGGGUAGCCUGACCGCAAGGGGGGCGCCUACCACGGUGUGGUCAAUGACUGGGGUG
Molecule: ribosomal RNA, 99 nt
Filed under: uncultured bacterium
Lineage: Bacteria
Description: partial 16S ribosomal RNA
Rfam family: Bacterial small subunit ribosomal RNA
Source: RNAcentral